This 647-nucleotide ribosomal RNA is filed under the name uncultured bacterium. RNAcentral describes it as "bacterial SSU rRNA". It matches the Rfam family "Bacterial small subunit ribosomal RNA", at positions 110 to 753 of the family's 1533-position model. The record is from RNAcentral.
GUAAUGCGUAGGAAGCUGCCCGAUAGAGGGGGAUACCAGUUGGAAACGACUGUUAAUACCGCAUAAUGUCUACGGACCAAAGUGUGGGACCUUCGGGCCACAUGCUAUCGGAUGCGCCUACGUGGGAUUAGCUAGUUGGUGAGGUAAUGGCUCACCAAGGCGACGAUCUUUAGCUGGUUUGAGAGGAUGAUCAGCCACACUGGAGCUGAGACACGGUCCAGACUCCUACGGGAGGCAGCAGUGGGGAAUAUUGGACAAUGGGCGCGAGCCUGAUCCAGCCAUGCCGCGUGUGUGAAGAAGGCCUUCGGGUUGUAAAGCACUUUCAGCGAGGAGGAAGGGAUGUAUGUUAAUAGCAUGCAUUUUUGACGUUACUCGCAGAAGAAGCACCGGCUAACUCUGUGCCAGCAGCCGCGGUAAUACAGAGGGUGCAAGCGUUAAUCGGAAUUACUGGGCGUAAAGCGCACGUAGGCGGUUUGUUAAGUUGGAUGUGAAAGCCCCGGGCUCAACCUGGGAAUUGCAUUCAAAACUGGCCAACUAGAGUAUGUGAGAGGGGGGUAGAAUUCCAAGUGUAGCGGUGAAAUGCGUAGAGAUUUGGAGGAAUACCAGUGGCGAAGGCGGCCCCCUGGCACAAUACUGACGCUGAGGUG